Molecule: ribosomal RNA, 464 nt
Filed under: Vreelandella stevensii
Lineage: Bacteria; Pseudomonadati; Pseudomonadota; Gammaproteobacteria; Oceanospirillales; Halomonadaceae
Description: partial 16S ribosomal RNA
Rfam family: Bacterial small subunit ribosomal RNA
Source: RNAcentral
CCUACGGGUGGCUGCAGUGGGGAAUAUUGGACAAUGGGCGAAAGCCUGAUCCAGCCAUGCCGCGUGUGUGAAGAAGGCCUUCGGGUUGUAAAGCACUUUCAGUGGGGAAGAAAGCCUUGGGGCUAAUACCCUCGAGGAAGGACAUCACCCACAGAAGAAGCACCGGCUAACUCCGUGCCAGCAGCCGCGGUAAUACGGAGGGUGCGAGCGUUAAUCGGAAUUACUGGGCGUAAAGCGCGCGUAGGCGGUCUGAUAAGCCGGUUGUGAAAGCCCCGGGCUCAACCUGGGAACGGCAUCCGGAACUGUCAGGCUAGAGUGCAGGAGAGGAAGGUAGAAUUCCCGGUGUAGCGGUGAAAUGCGUAGAGAUCGGGAGGAAUACCAGUGGCGAAGGCGGCCUUCUGGACUGACACUGACGCUGAGGUGCGAAAGCGUGGGUAGCAAACAGGAUUAGAUACCCUGGUAUC